RNAcentral lists this ribosomal RNA (257 nucleotides) under uncultured bacterium. RNAcentral's name for it is "partial 16S ribosomal RNA". It matches the Rfam family "Bacterial small subunit ribosomal RNA", at positions 521 to 776 of the family's 1533-position model. The record is from RNAcentral.
UGACACGUAGGCACCAAGCGUUGUCCGGAUUUAUUGGGCGUAAAGAGCUCGUAGGCGGUUCGGUAAGUCGGGUGUGAAAACUUUGGGCUCAACCCAAAGCGUGCACUCGAUACUGCCGUGACUAGAGUUCGGUAGGGGAGUGGGGAAUUCCUAGUGUAGCGGUGAAAUGCGCAGAUAUUAGGAGGAACACCGGUGGCGAAGGCGCCACUCUGGGCCGAAACUGACGCUGAGGAGCGAAAGCGUGGGUAGCAAACAGG